CUCAUCAAUAAAGUUGAUGAGUUUAACCAGUCUCAUGGCUGGCUAGGGAAAAAAAGAUCCCCCAGUUAGUGAAGUGGAUAAAUAACUUGGCACAAAGUCCUUCUCUGUUGACUCAGUUUACUUUGUGGACCCGGGCACGACUGUCAUAAUAAAUUAAAGCAUGAACAUUCCCAUUUGUCACUUCACCGCUUCCUUUUGCUGCCUUCCAACAUGUGGUAAAGCCAUUAGUUUUAAGAGACAGAAAAGAGCAGAGAGGGACCAAGAAUAGUGCUGGAAUUACGGGGAGAGAGGAGAGGACUUGCAGGGUGCAGUGGAGCAAUUGUGCAUUUACAGGGCAUAAUCUUAUCAAAGGCAUUGGGGUUUAUCAUCUCCCUCUGCAGACACAAAGGAGACUGUGGCUCUUCUGGGACUCACUAUCAACACCUUCCAAGUGCUUAGGGUGGCCCCAAAUCUAAAGGCAGGAGAAGACUCCUCUUGGUCAGGCUGUGUCCCAGGAUUUUAAUGAGCUGUGUCCUGCACUCUCAGGUGUUCCUCGCUGUCUCCUCAGCUCUGCACAGCUUCCCCCUGUUUUCCUGUGCCAUCCUCUGUGGGAAUUUCCUGAGCUAAAGGAGGAUGUGUUCAGAUCAGGCCCGUUGUUGACAAGGUGUGAACAGAUUAAUGGCCAUCCCAUCCCACCUGGCCUACUGGGCUUUCUGGGGAAUCCCCCUCUGAGCUGGAGCCUGCAGGAACUGAGGGUUUCAUCUCUAAAGAGGAGCAGAGUGCCUAAAGGCCCAGCCUCGUUGUGCUGAGGACUCUGCAGACAAAAUGAAGGCACAGUCCCUGCCUUGAAGUGCUUCUCGCCGCGGUACCUUCCCGCUCCGGCGGCAGCGGCUCUCCGAGGAGGAGCAGGGACCGGGACUGGCAGGGGCUGAGCAGCUGAUGCCUUCAUCCAGAGAAAUGGAGCCAUUUUGGGAGCACCAGCACAUCUCCACACUCACCAAGGGGACACUUCCAGGUGCUUUUCUCACUCAUGUGCACAUGCAGCCUCUCCGUGUCUGUACCUGGGCUCCUUAGGUGGUCUUCCAAAACCUCCUUUGCUCCCCCAGCCUCUCCAUCAGUCUUGUCCAGGUGGGAGAAUCUGGAGGCAGGGCUAUCCAAAUAGAGAAGUGAUG
RNAcentral lists this long non-coding RNA (1151 nucleotides) under Cyanistes caeruleus (blue tit). RNAcentral describes it as "lncRNA (ENSCCEG00000021221.1)". Lineage: Eukaryota; Metazoa; Chordata; Aves; Passeriformes; Paridae. The record is from RNAcentral.